AAAUACUUGCGCGUAGCGCAUUGGGCGUCAUUGGCCGAAUACAGUAUUUUCAGGUAGUAAUUAAAAAAGGUAAAUUUUGUUUAUGAGUAAUACAAAAUAACACGAAAACCUAUAGCGUAUGUAUAUAUAUAUCUCACUAUUCUUACAAUAGAUGUAAAUAUAUAUUAUAAGUUUUAGUAUUAUAGUAGUGUAUGAUAUAAAAAAAUUUUUAUAUAUUUAUAUAUUUUAAUAUAUAAAUAUUGAAAGUAUAUAAAGAAACUAUUAUGGAUUUUGGUUAGCUAUGUAUUAAAGGGAUUAAAUGAUUAUGUAUAUUAUGCGUACAUAUCGACCCUAAGAGAAAUUAAGUAAUAAACGAAGCGAAGUGAAAUAUCUUAUUAGCUUUAGGAAAAGAAAUCAAAAGAGAUUCUAUGAUUAAUGUGAAUGAAAGUAGAGAAGCCUAAUAAGUAAAACGGUAAUAAAACUGUUUGAAUACUAAGGGGAACCUUCCUCUAAGGCUAAAUAUAAUACAUAAGCGAAAGUGUACAUAAGUACCGUGAGGGAACCGCAUAUGAAGUAGUAGUUUUAUAAGCAGCUCAAGCAAAAAAGUAAGAGCGUACCUUUUGCAUAAUGGGUCACCAAGUUAACGUUAGAUGCAAGCAAGGCUUGGCUUCUGGCUUCGCCAGAAAGCAAUAAAGCUAUGCAUAAUUAAACUGAUCAUAAAUUAAUGAGUAGUGUCUAAAGUUAGACCCGAAGCCUGGUGAUCUUACCACAGUCAGGACUAUAAAGGUCCGAACGGGUUAUCGUUGCAUAGAUAUCCGAAGAAUUGUGGUAAGCAAGUGAAAGACAAAGCUGACUAGGAUAGCUGGUUUUCUGCGAAACCUAUAAAAGUAGGCAAUUUGAUAACAUCUUAGCAGGUACAGAACUUCAUCUCAGGCAAGAUGUGAAAAAUUUUAUGGGUGAAUAUCCUAUGAAAACACAUUUUAUUCUUGUACAGAUCGGGGAAUCGUGAAGAUUUUACCGGUGAGAUUGUAGACUCGGAAUGGCAAAGAUGAAUAUUUAAUUAUCGGACAUAGAAUGAUAAGGUUGUAUGUCAAAAGGGAAACAGCCCAGAACAAGAGUUAAGGUUCCAAAGUUAUUAUUAAGUGAAAUUAAGAAGGUUUUUAUUUAAGUCGACAAGGGGAUAGGCCUAGGAGCAGCCAUAAUUUAAAGACCUCGUAACAGAGCACUUGUUAAGUUUUAAGAGCAUCGAAAAUUUAACGGAUCUAAAUAAUAUACCGAAACCUUGUCCAUAAUAUAAAAUAAGUAAAAAAAAGGUUAAAUUAAACUAUCUUUGUUAUUUUUAUUUAAUGGGGUAGCAGAACGUUGAGUGUAUGUAAGAGCAUUCUUAUUUUAAGAAUAGUGCUAUAACUCAAGUGAGAAUGGUGACAUGAGUAACUAAAAAGAGUUUACAAAACUCUCGCCUAAAGCUUAUGGCUUAAAAAAGUAACGGCCUCUAAGUUAUUAACCUCAAGGUUAUAACGAUGAGUAAAACUUAUUAAAUAUGACAACAUUUCCUAAGUGAGAAGUGUGCAGGAAAAAAAUUAGUAAAUACAUAUUAUUUAGGGUGACCUAAAAAUGUAAAUAAACCGUACCUAGAGUCUGUGACAAGUAAGCUAGUAGAGAAUACGAAGGCGUAAUGAGAUAACAAUCAUAAAGGAACUCGGCAAAUUAACUACCGUAACUUAGGGAUAAGGAGGGCUCAUUAGUCUUGAUUAAUAUCAAGUAAAAAGGAAGAAGCAUAAAAUAAUGUUGUACGACUGUUUAAUUAAAACAAAGCACUUUGCGUAAAAAUGAUAAAUCUAAGUAUAGAGUGUGAUCUCUGCCCGAUGCCGGCUGGUUAACGGAAAUAACUAAAUUGUGAAAGGUUUGGUGUAGAAGGAACCCCCGGUUAAUGGCGGCCUUAACGUGAGGGUCCUAAGGUAGCGAAAUGCCUUGGCCGUUAAAUGCGGUCUUGCAUGAAUGACGUAACGAUACAACAGCUGUCUCUAUGAUUGACUCAGUGAAAUUGGAAUAACUGUGCAGAUACAGUUUACCUCUAGGUAGACGAGAAGACCCUAUGCAGCUUUACUGUUACUAAUUAUUGAGUAUAAUAGACAUAUUUUAGAAUAUAAGGUAAUGGGUGGUUAGCUAAGCUAAAUUAAACUAGGCUUAGUGUAACUCUUCAUGAAAUUGAAAUCCCUUUAUUUGGAGAUUAUACUGUAGGCGUAAGCUCAGGCUUUGCCUGGGUUUUACGAAUUAAUAAAAACCCUGUAAGAGGGGACAUUUGCUAGGAGACAGUUUAUGCGGGGCACAGACCCCACAAAGAGUAAAUGGGAGUGUCCAACAAAUAAUCUGCAUAUUAAUUUAUGUAUUUUAGUAUAUAACACAGACUGAGAACUUAUCUAGGAUUAACCUAACCAAUUAAAGCUAUAUUUAUAUAGCUAAGGCUGGAAAGGGUUAUGAUUAGAGUGGUAACUGAGCAUAAGGCUUCAGUAAAUUUAUGUUUUUUAGGUAAGUAGACAACUAUGGUGAAGUUAGUAAUAGUAGUUAAUAAUAUUAUGAAAUAACCUGUAGACUAAUAGUCUACCUUGUUAUGCUCUAUUAUUAUUAGAGAUAUUAUACUGCGCUGGGCGUGAAAGUAUAAUAAAAAAUUGUAAAACAUAUUGACAGGUUUAACGGCAAAAUCUUGCCUU
Molecule: ribosomal RNA, 2690 nt
Filed under: Magnaporthales sp. P1609
Lineage: Eukaryota; Fungi; Ascomycota; Sordariomycetes; Magnaporthales
Description: bacterial LSU rRNA
Rfam family: Bacterial large subunit ribosomal RNA (bases 255-2026)
Source: RNAcentral